Long non-coding RNA from Mytilus californianus (California mussel), 856 nucleotides. RefSeq lists it as uncharacterized. NCBI's taxonomy places the organism in Eukaryota, Metazoa, Mollusca, Bivalvia, Mytilida, Mytilidae. The transcript has 5 exons. The record is from RefSeq and is a predicted model, not a curated record.
AUCUGACACAGUGUAUGUUGAUGCAUGCGUAGACUUGUGUGCUUGACAACUGUAGGAAACACUUUCCACACACGAAUAAAAUAACAGUUUUAGAAAAUCGAUGGGUAUCUAACUGUAGGGGUGCACUGAUCCAUGUACGUUGCUAAUGAUAUACAAAGCUAGGUGAAUUUUAGAAGGGCGAAACUUCUUAUCUCAUAUCUCACGGUGAGUCACGCCUACGAAAACUGUUGUCAUCAAAAUCUGGAUGUUUAUAUUGAAAGAAAGCGUGUAUUGAUCACAGGUAUCAUACGUGUACUGAUUAACAUACAAGAUAGACGUUUUUUAGUCUGGAUAUUGUGGCAUUUCAAAUAAGUCUGUUUCGAUAAUGAAUACGGCACCAUUUGACGACGAUUACCAUAAUAUUACUUUCAUAGUAAACCCUGGUGACGGUAGAGAUUCAGUAAAUGUGGGGACGGCUAACCUCGUGUUUGUGAUUAGUACAGUUUUCUGGUUUUGUAUGAGCGCUGCAGUAACGAAAUAUGGCAAACCUAAGUUCGUGAAAUCAGACGUAAACUUCUAUAGAUGGCGUAAUAUAUUCAUUUCAUGGCUCCAUGGUGUACUUGGAGGAACAUGGAAUUUCUUAUGUGUGUUGUGGUACCCUGGCCUAUUGGAAGAUCCAGUGUUCUAUCUGAAUAAUUUUAUAUACCUCAUGAUCCCGUUUUCGAUGGGGUAUUUUCUGUAUGAUGUUAUAGAUAAUAUGAUGAAUGGAACGCUUCUAACAAAUUGGGAAGUUACUUUGCAUCAUGUAUUGGUUUUGAUUGGUUUUACAUACAACUGGACAGCGAAAGUUUGUCUUGGAUACAGCAUUUUAGCACUG